UACGAAGGGGGCUAGCGUUGUUCGGAAUUACUGGGCGUAAAGCGCAUGUAGGCGGAUCGUUAAGUCGGGGGUGAAAUCCCGAGGCUCAACCUCGGAACUGCCUUCGAUACUGGCGAUCUUCGAGUCCGGGAGAGGUGAGUGGAACUCCGAGUGUAGAGGUGAAAUGCGUAGAUAUCUGGAGGAACACCGGUGGCGAAGGCGACAUCCUGGACCAACACUGACGCUGAGGAGCGAAAGCCAGGGGAGCAAACGGG
This 254-nucleotide ribosomal RNA is filed under the name uncultured bacterium. Its description in RNAcentral is "partial 16S ribosomal RNA". It matches the Rfam family "Bacterial small subunit ribosomal RNA", at positions 524 to 776 of the family's 1533-position model. The record is from RNAcentral.